GAUGAACGCUAGCUACAGGCUUAACACAUGCAAGUCGAGGGGAAACGCCAUCGAAAGCUUGCUUUUGAUGGGCGUCGACCGGCGCACGGGUGAGUAACGCGUAUCCAACCUGCCCACCACUUGGGGAUAACCUUGCGAAAGUAAGACUAAUACCCGAUGAUAUCUCUAUAAGACAUCUGAAAGGGAUUAAAGAUUUAUCGGUGAUGGAUGGGGAUGCGUCUGAUUAGCUUGUUGGCGGGGUAACGGCCCACCAAGGCGACGAUCAGUAGGGGUUCUGAGAGGAAGGUCCCCCACAUUGGAACUGAGACACGGGCCAAACUCCUACGGGAGGCAGCAGUGAGGAAUAUUGGUCAAUGGGCGAGAGCCUGAACCAGCCAAGUAGCGUGCAGGAUGACGGCCCUAUGGGUGGUAAACUGCUUUUAUAAGGGAAUAAAGUGAGUCUCGGGAGACUUUUUGCAUGUACCUUAUGAAUAAGGACCGGCUAAGUCCGUG
RNAcentral lists this ribosomal RNA (492 nucleotides) under uncultured bacterium. Its description in RNAcentral is "partial 16S ribosomal RNA". It matches the Rfam family "Bacterial small subunit ribosomal RNA", at positions 28 to 507 of the family's 1533-position model. The record is from RNAcentral.